RNAcentral lists this ribosomal RNA (253 nucleotides) under uncultured bacterium. Its description in RNAcentral is "partial 16S ribosomal RNA". It matches the Rfam family "Bacterial small subunit ribosomal RNA", at positions 524 to 776 of the family's 1533-position model. The record is from RNAcentral.
UACAGAGGUCUCAAGCGUUGUUCGGAUUCAUUGGGCGUAAAGGGUGCGUAGGCGGCGCGGUAAGUCGGGUGUGAAAUCUUGGAGCUUAACUCCGAAACUGCAUUCGAUACUGCCGUGCUUGAGUGCGGCAGAGGAGACUGGAAUUCCUGGUGUAGCAGUGAAAUGCGUAGAUAUCAGGAGGAAUACCGAUGGCGAAGGCAGGUCUCUGGGCUGACACUGACGCUCAUGCACGAAAGCGUGGGGAGCAAACAGG